Molecule: ribosomal RNA, 468 nt
Filed under: uncultured bacterium
Lineage: Bacteria
Description: partial 16S ribosomal RNA
Rfam family: Bacterial small subunit ribosomal RNA
Source: RNAcentral
GACGAACGCUGGCGGCGUGCUUAACACAUGCAAGUCGAACGGAAAGGCCCUGCUUUUGUGGGGUGCUCGAGUGGCGAACGGGUGAGUAACACGUGAGUAACCUGCCCUUGACUUUGGGAUAACUUCAGGAAACUGGGGCUAAUACCGGAUAGGAGCUCCUGCUGCAUGGUGGGGGUUGGAAAGUUUCGGCGGUUGGGGAUGGACUCGCGGCUUAUCAGCUUGUUGGUGGGGUAGUGGCUUACCAAGGCUUUGACGGGUAGCCGGCCUGAGAGGGUGACCGGGCACAUGAGGACGAGGAUAGGGGGAGGGCAGCUAAGGGAGACCGCAGUGGGGAGGGUUGCGCGAUGGGCGGAAGUCUGAUGCAGCAACGCCGGGUGCGGGAUGACGGCCGUGGGGUGGGAGACCGGUGUCGGCGGUGACGAAGCGGGAGUGACGGUAAUGAGUAAAGAAGCACCGGCUGACUACGUG